CAGGUGCUAGCAGGGACGGAGCAGGUCGGCGCUGCUGUCUUGGAUAACCUGACCCCAUUCCAGUAGAGGUGACACCAUAGCACUCUUUGUGGAGCUUCGUCCCUGGCUGCUAGCUAAUCAGUACAUGAUGCACUAGCUAAUCUAUGCAUUAUCUGCUAGCUCUUUGGGUGAUGCUCUUUUUCUGUUAUCUGGUAAAAUGUUGUACUAGUACGCAUAAUUAGAAUUUGCUAGCUGUAUGUGAUUCAGUGCAAAUUUUGAUUGCAAUUGUUUGAGAUAUACUGAUUUCAGCAGAAUAGGAAAUUAUAGAGUCUAUGACAUGUAGACCCCCUUUGUUAUUGACUAAACAAACGGACAAGUUUUUGUCCAAAUAGGUCUGCCGGUUGUGCAGACUCUUGUCCAGGGCGACCCAUUUUGGACAAUAAUGGACAUUUUUGUGUCCGAAAUAGGUCUCCCCAUUGAAGAUGCCUUUAGAUUAUAAUUAACUUCUAGUUGAAUAACUCCCCCACUGUAAACAUUGCCGAAAUUAUUGAUAUAUACCCCUUUUAUUUUUGUUGACCUGAAUAUUACGUUUGAGUCUAAACUCGUACUCUACGAACUAACAAUCACUACAAUUCCUCACACAAAUAGACAAUCUUAUAAGAUAACCCGGACACCGUCCAGUUGUAAUUAAGCACCUGCAUUAUAACUUCUCGCCAUUGUCAAAAAAUCUAGUUUAUUUACUGUCGCUAGCCCACCUACAAUUACCACAACUACCCUAAUUUAGCAUAUAAAUAAUUUAUGCAUCCAGUUUCACACACCUCUAUUUACUAGCUAUGCGAGAUUAUUUUCAUACCUCUCCAAAUUACUGGAAGUUCUUGCAGAAAUGUGAGUGUUGCACAUUGUAUAUUUGUUGUUAAUUAUCUCUCAAGUAAACAUAACUUUUAAUUGAUCCACGAUUUUCAUUUCGUCAAGUCAUGGAUCAUACAUGAGUACCCUAGAUUAGUAGACAUUCUUGGAAUUGUUAUCAGAACUGUUAAUUGGAACCACCCAAUGGAUCACAAGCUUUUCUCUUGUAUAAUCAGGCGAAUAAUGCUGAUCAACAUCACAGAAUGCAUCAUGGCAUGGAUUUCUCAUUUGAGCUGUCAUCUUGAGCCAUAAUUUGCGGUAGAUGUGGUGGCAGUAAUGAAUUACUCAAAUAUUGCAUCUAUCCCAAACCAAUUUGUCAAACAGGGGUUUACCGUAAACUCUUGCUGGCUGGAUAAUAUUGAUAACCACGGAUGAAUGAUAUUACACAAAGUAAUGAUGAUGCAAGGGAGCGCAUCCAGUUUUGCUGAAGAUCGCCUCCACGCUGCUAACAUUGAACUUACCAUGUUGGAUUAAGCAAUGCUGCCACACUUGUGUAGAUGCCCGAACAUGUAAAUUAUGUCUAAAUCCAUUAGUAGUACUAUAUCAAAACUCCAAGAUCCCCAGAGCCUGCAAUCUUUACGUUCACUGCUGGACAAUCUCAUCUAAAUCAAAGACAUCCCUGUUCAACUGUUUUACAUUUUAUUCUGCUAACACCAGUAAGAAGACUUACAAUGAUCUGAACAAAACUAGACAGAUGGAUAACCAUUCGCAACAUCAUAGCUUUUCUGGUGCUUACACUGGAAAUUUAUUAAGAAUUUUCGGUACGAAAUAUCUUGUAUUAUGUCCUUGAUUCGAUAAAAAUAAUUAGAAAUGCCUUAAGAACAUCUCCAGCUGCGUCCCCCAAACGCAUCCGGAUCGAGCAUUUUGGGGACGUGUUUCAUUCGUGCCAUCAAACUUUGUGUAAUAUCAUUCAGCCGCGUCCCCCAAACGCCGCCCUCAAACUUUAAAAUACUUUUUUUAUUUAGUAUAUAGAAGAAAUGUGUAGGUUAAAUAAUGCUGCUAAUAUUCAAAGCGGUGCAACAUACACAAUGCGAUCAACGCGUCGAUCAACGCGGUUGCC
Lolium rigidum is the source of this 1945-nucleotide long non-coding RNA. RefSeq lists it as uncharacterized. Lineage: Eukaryota; Viridiplantae; Streptophyta; Magnoliopsida; Poales; Poaceae. The transcript is spliced from 3 exons. The record is from RefSeq and is a predicted model, not a curated record.